AAACCAUCAAGCGCAGCUUGGCCUUGGACCCGGGGUCUUGUUACCCCUGUCCAAAACUCCAGGUGGCGUUCCCGUCGAGCCUUAAGCGUAGCAAGAAUUACUCCCUCGCUUUGAAGGCUUUUUGGCCGGAGCAGCCCCUCAAGUCACCCUAAA
This 153-nucleotide unclassified non-coding RNA is filed under the name uncultured Ascomycota. RNAcentral describes it as "sequence contains ITS2". Lineage: Eukaryota; Fungi; Ascomycota. The record is from RNAcentral.